GCCAGACUCCUACGGGAGGCAGCAGUGAGGAAUAUUGGUCAAUGGUCGGGAGACUGAACCAGCCAAGCCGCGUGAGGGAGGAAGGUACAGAGUAUCGUAAACCUCUUUUGUCAGGGAACAAAGACUGGGACGCGUCCCCGGAUGAGUGUACCUGAAGAAAAAGCAUCGGCUAACUCCGUGCCAGCAGCCGCGGUAAUACGGAGGAUGCGAGCGUUAUCCGGAUUUAUUGGGUUUAAAGGGUGCGCAGGCGGGCUGUUAAGCCCGCGGUAAGAGCGCGGGGCGCAACCCCGCUCCGCCGUUGAAACUGUGUCCCUUGAGUGCGCGAAGGGUAGGCGGAAUGCGUGGUGUAGCGGUGAAAUGCAUAGAUAUCACGCAGAACUCCGAUCGCGAAGGCAGCCUACCGGCGCGCAACUGACGCUCAUGCACGAAAGCGUGGGGAUCGAACAGGAUUAGAUACCCUAGUAAAC
This 467-nucleotide ribosomal RNA is filed under the name uncultured bacterium. RNAcentral describes it as "bacterial SSU rRNA". It matches the Rfam family "Bacterial small subunit ribosomal RNA", at positions 330 to 795 of the family's 1533-position model. The record is from RNAcentral.